RNAcentral lists this ribosomal RNA (460 nucleotides) under uncultured bacterium. RNAcentral describes it as "partial 16S ribosomal RNA". It matches the Rfam family "Bacterial small subunit ribosomal RNA", at positions 338 to 795 of the family's 1533-position model. The record is from RNAcentral.
CCUACGGGUGGCAGCAGUGAGGAAUAUUGGUCAAUGGACGAGAGUCUGAACCAGCCAAGUAGCGUGAAGGAUGACUGCCCUAUGGGUUGUAAACUUCUUUUAUAUGGGAAUAAAACGUUCCACGUGUGGGAUUUUGUAUGUACCAUAUGAAUAAGGAUCGGCUAACUCCGUGCCAGCAGCCGCGGUAAUACGGAGGAUACGAGCGUUAUCCGGAUUUAUUGGGUUUAAAGGGAGCGUAGGUGGAUUGUUAAGUCAGUUGUGAAAGUUUGCGGCUCAACCGUAAAAUUGCAGUUGAAACUGGCAGUCUUGAGUACAGUAGAGGUGGGCGGAAUUCGUGGUGUAGCGGUGAAAUGCUUAGAUAUCACGAAGAACUCCGAUUGCGAAGGCAGUUCACUGGACUGCAACUGACACUGAGGCUCGAAAGUGUGGGUAUCAAACAGGAUUAGAGACCCUGGUAGUC